UGGUUGAGUCAGGCUCACAGAGUUCACAGCACAGUCAUGAGGACUGCCACUCAGAUCCUGGGGUUGUUGCUAUUCUGGCUUACAGGUGCCAGAUGUGACAUCCAGAUGACCCAAUCUCCAGGUUCUCUGUCUGUAUCUCUGGGAGAAAGUGUCUCCAUCACAUGCCGGGCAAGUCAGAACAUUUACAGUAGUUUAGCAUGGUAUCAACAAAAACCAGGCAAUCCUCCUAACCUCCUGAUCUAUGGAGCAACCAGCUUGAAAGAUGGGGUCCCAUCCAGGUUCAGUGGCAGUGGAUCUGGCACACAGUAUUCUCUCAAGAUCAGUGGCAUGCAUUCUGAAGAUGUUGCAACUUACUUCUGCCUACAGGGCAGGAAUUUUCCUCCCACAGUGAUUCACUUCUUGACAUAAACCAUUCAAAGAAGC
Molecule: non-coding RNA, 423 nt
Organism: Mesocricetus auratus (golden hamster)
Lineage: Eukaryota; Metazoa; Chordata; Mammalia; Rodentia; Cricetidae
Source: the annotation of a RefSeq genome assembly